This 460-nucleotide ribosomal RNA is filed under the name uncultured Methylomirabilota bacterium. RNAcentral's name for it is "bacterial SSU rRNA". It matches the Rfam family "Bacterial small subunit ribosomal RNA", at positions 977 to 1434 of the family's 1533-position model. Lineage: Bacteria; Methylomirabilota (SeqCode). The record is from RNAcentral.
GGGCUUGACAUCCCACGAAUCCUGCCGAAAGGCAGGAGUGCCCGCAAGGGAGCGCGGAGACAGGUGGUGCAUGGCUGUCGUCAGCUCGUGUCGUGAGAUGUUGGGUUAAGUCCCGCAACGAGCGCAACCCUCACCUCUUGUUGCCACCAGGUCAUGCUGGGCACUCUAGAGGAACUGCCCCGGUCAACGGGGAGGAAGGCGGGGAUGACGUCAAGUCAUCAUGCCCCUUACGUCCUGGGCUACACACGUGCUACAAUGGCCGGUACAAAGGGAUGCCACACCGCGAGGUAGAGCUAAACCCAAAAAGCCGGUCUAAGUUCAGAUUGGAGUCUGCAACUCGACUCCAUGAAGGAGGAAUCGCUAGUAAUCGCGUAUCAGCACGACGCGGUGAAUACGUUCCCGGGCCUUGUACACACCGCCCGUCACACCACGAAAGCCCGUUGUACUCGAAGUCGCUGAG